Long non-coding RNA from Piliocolobus tephrosceles (Ugandan red Colobus), 413 nucleotides. RefSeq lists it as uncharacterized. The transcript is spliced from 4 exons. The record is from RefSeq and is a predicted model, not a curated record. Lineage: Eukaryota; Metazoa; Chordata; Mammalia; Primates; Cercopithecidae.
CUUUGAACUGUUGUUACUUGAUACAUGCAGGACAACUGAAAAGAAAGACAAUGGCUACGUGGAUUAGAACAUAACAGCGUCCAGUAAUGCAGCGUGCCCAUGUGUGAAAUGAAGCAGGAGUGGCAUAGUGCACUCCGAGCUGUGCAGUGAAAAACAGGCGUGGACAGCCACAGGAAGGAUGGAGCUUCAGGCCACAUUAAGCUGUCACCCCUAAUCCUUCUGUCCCCACGUCCUGUGCAACCACUCAUCUACUUUCUGUCUGGAUCAUUUCCUGUUUCGGAAAUUUCACAUGUUCAAUAGGAAGCCCCAAAUGUUUGUUGCUAGUUGUUAUGCGUGGCUCAGAGCAGAACAGCUUGUCUGAGCUCCCGGCCCAGAAUACUGCAGUGUGAAAAUAGGCCACAGGCAUCAAAUUC